UACGUAGGGGGCUAGCGUUGUCCGGAAUCAUUGGGCGUAAAGCGCGUGUAGGCGGUUCGGUAAGUCCGCUGUGAAAGUCGGGGGCUCAACCCUCGAAUGCCGGUGGAUACUGUCGAACUAGAGUGCGGAAGAGGCGAGUGGAAUUCCUGGUGUAGCGGUGAAAUGCGCAGAUAUCAGGAGGAACACCAAUUGCGAAGGCAGCUCGCUGGGACGUAACUGACGCUGAGACGCGAAAGCGUGGGGAGCGAACAGG
RNAcentral lists this ribosomal RNA (253 nucleotides) under uncultured bacterium. RNAcentral's name for it is "partial 16S ribosomal RNA". It matches the Rfam family "Bacterial small subunit ribosomal RNA", at positions 524 to 776 of the family's 1533-position model. The record is from RNAcentral.